CAUCACCCCCCAUACACACAACACACUUCAAGCAGCUACCCCAUACACAUACGGUCUCAGACAAAAACGCAAACAUGCUCACAGAGACAUACAUUCACACACACAAGGAUACUCUCUGUCAGACACACUCUCAGGCACAUACACAGGUAGACAGUGCCUCAAUGUGUAUAUGUGACACUUUUUUUGUUAGUGGGGCCUCAUGUUUGAGUUUCGCCUAAGGCCUCAUAAAGUCUAGAGCCG
This is a non-coding RNA of Pelobates cultripes (western spadefoot toad), 240 nucleotides long. The record is from the annotation of a GenBank genome assembly. Lineage: Eukaryota; Metazoa; Chordata; Amphibia; Anura; Pelobatidae.